Long non-coding RNA from Neocloeon triangulifer, 883 nucleotides. RefSeq lists it as uncharacterized. The record is from RefSeq and is a predicted model, not a curated record. NCBI's taxonomy places the organism in Eukaryota, Metazoa, Arthropoda, Insecta, Ephemeroptera, Baetidae. The transcript is spliced from 3 exons.
AAUCGGACACGCCCAAAUAUGAUUAGUAAUGGCUUUCUUUGUUUACCAAGUGCAUCGUGUCUCGUCGGGGUCAAGAUUAAGCCCAAAUUCGGCCCGAAAAAGCAAAAAAAUCGGCCGAAAUGCAACGUGAGAAGGAGCACUGCAGUCGGCGCAGCAGCGUAGCGAGUUUAACUGAUUCGGGAGAGCCGCUCCCAGGCCAGUCUGACUCGCCGCCGGAAAGGGACGUUCCCUUCGUCGUUCUCCCUGUUCAAAUUGACCUACGAGGCUCAUAAUUAAGUCUAAUUUACAUGUUUAACUCGGCCGAAAACGCCAGUGAUUUGAGAAUUGUCUCUUCUUCGUGCGGCCGCGUUGAAAUCCAAAUUGGCACCGACUUUCCCACCAUUUCCAGUAAAAAUUUGAGCACCUCAUCUCUGUAUUUUUGACGCAUCCAGCUGCACUCGGAAGUCAGGUUUGACGAAAUUCUGUCGGAAAACCAACUGGUGGGGCAAAGUGGACACCAUCAUGGCUUGAGGAAUUUCCUUCGUGUUCAUCUCUUGAUAAAUAAGCAAAUUGCUAAGGGAUUCCUGUAAACUCUUAUCCCCUUUUAUUUCCUCGCCUUCAAAGAUCUUGAGGAAUUUUUCAAGCAAAUCUGGAACCAUAAUAUGUAUUUUAUAAAAACAUAAGUCUGCUCUCCAAAAUUAAAGUAAAAAAAAAGUAAAUAAAAAAAGCGUAUUCGUAAUGACGUGUCAAAAAAAUGCACCUUUGUUUUGAAGGAUAAAGACAAACCAUCCGCUGUGGACAGUGGCCUUUAGGAAAUCAAUUUGUUUUGCCUCCUUAAACUGAAAAAGAAUUUUAUUUUGUUUGAAUAUAAUAAAUUUCUCUGAAUUUUUUGGAAAAUAGUUCU